Molecule: ribosomal RNA, 322 nt
Filed under: uncultured eukaryote
Lineage: Eukaryota
Description: partial 18S ribosomal RNA
Rfam family: Eukaryotic small subunit ribosomal RNA
Source: RNAcentral
CCCUUAGAUGUUCUGGGCCGCACGCGUGCUACACUGAGUGGAUCAGCGGGUCAGGUUGCGCGAAAGUGUUUCCUAAUCUUUAAAUCCGCUCGUGAUGGGGAUAGACGGUUGCAAUUUUCCGUCAUGAACGAGGAAUACCUUGUAAGCGCGGGUCAUCAUCCCGCGCUGAAUACGUCCCUGCCCUUUGUACACACCGCCCGUCGCUCCUACCGAUUGAGUGGUCCGGUGAGGCUUUGGGAUCUGAGCGGAAAGAGCGUUUCGCUGUUUCUGCCCGGAAAACUCAGUCGAACCUUAUCAUUUAGAGGAAGGAGAAGUCGUAACA